Molecule: ribosomal RNA, 252 nt
Filed under: uncultured bacterium
Lineage: Bacteria
Description: partial 16S ribosomal RNA
Rfam family: Bacterial small subunit ribosomal RNA
Source: RNAcentral
CACGUAGGGCGCAAGCGUUGUCCGGAAUUAUUGGGCGUAAAGAGCUCGUAGGCGGUCUGUUGCGUCCGCUGUGAAAACCCGGGGCUUAACCCCUGGCUUGCAGUGGAUAGGGACGGACUAGAGGUAGGUAGGGGAGAAUGGAAUUCCCGGUGUAGCGGUGAAAUGCGCAGAUAUCGGGAGGAACACGGGUGGCGAGGGCGGUUCUCGGGCCGAUACUGACGCUGAGGAGCGAAAGCGUGGGGAGCGAACAGG